CAUGGUUUUGUGGUUCUGCAUUGAUCGAGCCACUGCUGCAUUUGGUUGACUUUUCUUCCAGCUGAGAAGCAGAUGAAGUCUUUGAAACUCAGUCCUUGGAAGCAGUCUGAAGAAAUAUGAUGGCAAUAUGAUGGCAAAAUAAAUUAGAGAAAUACUGAAGAAGAAUUGCUUGGAAGUACAAUUAAAUAGAAGAAAACCUCAGGAAGUAGCCUUUUUAAGGGUACUGGGCACCCACCUGCAUGUCUUAUGGCAGAAGUUACAGGGCAGAGACCUGUUGAUCACGUGCCUUCCCUAUCUCUUAUCUAUCUAUACUCAUCCUCCUUUCACCCUCCCACAAAAAAUGAUGGAACAAUUAUGUGAACUCUUUUAUUAUUCCAGGUUCUCACUAUAAAAAUUGUGAAAAGAUCAACUAAAUAAUAAAUAAGAAAAGACUGUGAGAUGCUGAGGAAAAGUGCUGCAUUUAUAGAAAGUGCCAUGUUAUGAUAUUUUUUUCCCUACAAAACACUCUGCACUGCCAUAAAAUACCCGAAGACUUUAGUAAAAGUGUUAGUUAUUUCUGUACACCUCUCUGGGAAUAUUUGUAGGUGUUUCACCCCUUUUAUUUUUCUCUUUUCU
RNAcentral lists this long non-coding RNA (615 nucleotides) under Pan paniscus (pygmy chimpanzee). RNAcentral describes it as "lncRNA (ENSPPAG00000045252.1)". Lineage: Eukaryota; Metazoa; Chordata; Mammalia; Primates; Hominidae. The record is from RNAcentral.